GUGUUCACUUUGGCAGCACAUGCACAAAAAUUGGAACAAUACAGAGAAGAUUCAUAAGGUGUCUGCGCAAGGAUGACAUACAAAUUUGUGAGGUGUUCCACAUAAAA
This is a small nuclear RNA of Theropithecus gelada (gelada), 107 nucleotides long. The record is from Ensembl. Lineage: Eukaryota; Metazoa; Chordata; Mammalia; Primates; Cercopithecidae.